RNAcentral lists this ribosomal RNA (462 nucleotides) under uncultured bacterium. RNAcentral's name for it is "bacterial SSU rRNA". It matches the Rfam family "Bacterial small subunit ribosomal RNA", at positions 34 to 507 of the family's 1533-position model. The record is from RNAcentral.
CGCUGGCGGCGCGCCUAACACAUGCAAGUCGAACGGAGCUGAGAGAAGCUUGCUUUUCUUAGCUUAGUGGCGAACGGGUGAGUAACGCGUGAGUAACCUGCCCUGGAGUGGGGGACAACAGUUGGAAACGACUGCUAAUACCGCAUAAGCCCACGGUCCGGCAUCGGAUUGAGGGAAAAGGAUUUAUUCGCUUCAGGAUGGACUCGCGUCCAAUUAGCUAGUUGGUGAGGUAACGGCCCACCAAGGCGACGAUUGGUAGCCGGACUGAGAGGUUGAACGGCCACAUUGGGACUGAGACACGGCCCAGACUCCUACGGGAGGCAGCAGUGGGGGAUAUUGCACAAUGGGGGAAACCCUGAUGCAGCGACGCCGCGUGGAGGAAGAAGGUUUUCGGAUUGUAAACUCCUGUCGUUAGGGACGAUAAUGACGGUACCUAACAAGAAAGCACCGGCUAACUACGUG